RNAcentral lists this long non-coding RNA (249 nucleotides) under Medicago truncatula (barrel medic). RNAcentral describes it as "long non-coding RNA (MTRU_LNC004955)". Lineage: Eukaryota; Viridiplantae; Streptophyta; Magnoliopsida; Fabales; Fabaceae. The record is from RNAcentral.
AAAGAGAGAGAGAGAGAGAGAGAGAGAGAGAGAGAGAGAAUAACACAGGAGAGUUAUCCUGGUUCACCAAACCCGGCUACUUCCAGUCCCCACACUUCGUGUGAGAUUAUCCACUAUAGUAUGCAGUUGGUAGAAACUUCUAACCAACACUAUAAGGUCUUGAUCACACCAGAUCAGUCCGUAACCACUGUAUUAUCAACCUCAGCAGGCUUCUACAAUUCUUUGCUUUCGCACAAGAAAGGUUGGAAC